CCCUACGGGGCGCAGCAGUGGGGAAUUUUGGACAAUGGGCGCAAGCCUGAUCCAGCAAUGCCGCGUGAGUGAAGAAGGCCUUCGGGUUGUAAAGCUCUUUUGUCAGGGAAGAAACGGUGAGUCCUAAUAUGGCUUGCUAAUGACGGUACCUGAAGAAUAAGCACCGGCUAACUACGUGCCAGCAGCCGCGGUAAUACGUAGGGUGCAAGCGUUAAUCGGAAUUACUGGGCGUAAAGCGUGCGCAGGCGGUUAUAUAAGACAGUCGUGAAAUCCCCGGGCUCAACCUGGGAACUGCGAUUGUGACUGUAUGGCUAGAGUGUGUCAGAGGGGGGUAGAAUUCCACGUGUAGCAGUGAAAUGCGUAGAUAUGUGGAGGAAUACCGAUGGCGAAGGCAGCCCCCUGGGAUAACACUGACGCUCAUGCACGAAAGCGUGGGGAGCAAACAGGAUUAGAUACCCGGGUAGUCCU
RNAcentral lists this ribosomal RNA (468 nucleotides) under uncultured bacterium. RNAcentral describes it as "bacterial SSU rRNA". It matches the Rfam family "Bacterial small subunit ribosomal RNA", at positions 337 to 797 of the family's 1533-position model. The record is from RNAcentral.